Molecule: ribosomal RNA, 491 nt
Filed under: Klebsiella pneumoniae
Lineage: Bacteria; Pseudomonadati; Pseudomonadota; Gammaproteobacteria; Enterobacterales; Enterobacteriaceae
Description: bacterial SSU rRNA
Rfam family: Bacterial small subunit ribosomal RNA
Source: RNAcentral
ACUUAAAUUGAAGAGUUUGAUCAUGGCUCAGAUUGAACGCUGGCGGCAGGCCUAACACAUGCAAGUCGAGCGGUAGCACAGAGAGCUUGCUCUCGGGUGACGAGCGGCGGACGGGUGAGUAAUGUCUGGGAAACUGCCUGAUGGAGGGGGAUAACUACUGGAAACGGUAGCUAAUACCGCAUAACGUCGCAAGACCAAAGUGGGGGACCUUCGGGCCUCAUGCCAUCAGAUGUGCCCAGAUGGGAUUAGCUAGUAGGUGGGGUAACGGCUCACCUAGGCGACGAUCCCUAGCUGGUCUGAGAGGAUGACCAGCCACACUGGAACUGAGACACGGUCCAGACUCCUACGGGAGGCAGCAGUGGGGAAUAUUGCACAAUGGGCGCAAGCCUGAUGCAGCCAUGCCGCGUGUGUGAAGAAGGCCUUCGUGUUGUAAAGCACUUUCAGCGGGGAGGAAGGCGAUAAGGUUAAUAACCUUGUCGAUUGACGUUACC